UUGAGAGAAGAAGAUCGCGCUUUUCCCGUCCGAUACUUCGUCCAUCGCGGGCCUCUUUUCCGGCAUGGAGGUGACGGCAAGGACCGCCGUGCCAAUGAGGAACCAUGCGGUGGUGAACUUCCGGUGGGGAGUUAGGGUUCCGUCGAAGAUCAAGAGCGCGGCUGGGAUUUCGCUUCAGAAAAUCCCUUUCCUGGUGAUGAACAAGAUCGGCAUCGAACACGGGGACGGUCCGGAUCCGAAGACGACCGCCAAAGCAAACCAGCCAUCGUCGCCGGAGAACGGCCUGCUGAGGAAGGCCGUUGACGUGGUGACGUGGUGAGACUGAGACUGAAUAGUGGUGAGGAAGGCCGUUGACGUAGAAAACCUGAGACUGAGACUGAGAACGGGCUGCUGAGGAAGGUCGUUGAUUCUAAGUGAAUAGGAGACUGAGUAUUGAUGAAUAGGAGACGCAAAGGCUUCUAAGUGAACCAGGUUUCGUCGGAGAUGUUUGGGUGUGGCCGGAUAUGUUUGAUGCAGGUUUCGCCGGAGAUGUUUGGGUGGGGGCAUUUAAGUCAUUUUACUAAAAAAAGGGUCACGUGACAUUUUCGGUUAAAAGUGAACGGAAUUAGACGGAAAUGACCAAACUGUUAUCUUUUAAA
Long non-coding RNA from Morus notabilis, 638 nucleotides. RefSeq lists it as uncharacterized. The record is from RefSeq and is a predicted model, not a curated record. The transcript is spliced from 2 exons. NCBI's taxonomy places the organism in Eukaryota, Viridiplantae, Streptophyta, Magnoliopsida, Rosales, Moraceae.